This 3065-nucleotide ribosomal RNA is filed under the name Bifidobacterium breve. RNAcentral describes it as "23S ribosomal RNA". It matches the Rfam family "Bacterial large subunit ribosomal RNA". The record is from RNAcentral. Lineage: Bacteria; Bacillati; Actinomycetota; Actinomycetes; Bifidobacteriales; Bifidobacteriaceae.
CGUGUUGCCUGCAAGGGCGUAUGGUGGAUGCCUUGGCAGACAGGACCGAUGAAGGACGUUUGAGGCUGCGAUAUGCCUCGGGGAGCCGCCAACAGGGCUUUGAUCCGAGGAUUUCCGAAUGGGGGAACCCACCGGCCGUCAUGGGCCGGUACCGCCGUGUGCGGGGGGUACGCAGGGAAGUGAAACAUCUCAGUACCUGCAGGAAAGGAUAUUCCGUGAGUAGUGGCGAGCGAAAGCGGAUCAGGCCAAACCUUGCGCGUGUGAUACCCGUCGGGGGUUGCGCGCGGGGUGUAGAGGGAUCGCGUUUGCCGGCUCCGACGGGCCGGCCGUCAGUUGCAUAAAACCAUGUGCCAGGGGAACCGGGUUGAAUACCGGGCCGCAGAGGGUGAGGGCCCCGUACCCGAACGCGCAUGGUCUGGCGAUCGCGUCUCCCAAGUAGCACGGGCCCCGUGGAAUCCCGUGCGAAUCUGUCCCGACCGUGGGAUAAGCCUAAAUAUUCCUGUCUGACCGAUAGCGAACGAGUACCGUGAGGGAAAGGUGAAAAGUACCCCGGGAGGGGAGUGAAACAGUCUCUGAAACCAUGCGCCUACGAACCGUCGGGGCCCUCUUGUGGGGUGACGGCGUGCCUAUCGAAAAAUGAGUCUGCGAGUCAGUGGCAUGUGGCGAGCAUAACCCGUGUGGGGUAUGCGUAGCGAAGGCGAGUCUUAAAAGGCGUUUGAGUCGCGUGUCCUGGACCCGAAGCGGGAUGAUCUAGCCCUGAGCAGGUUGAAGCGCGGGUAAGACCGUGUGGAGGACCGAACCCACCUGGGUUGAAAACCGGGGGGAUGACUUGGGGCUAGGGGUGAAAGGCCAAUCAAAUUCCGUGAUAGCUGGUUCUCUCCGAAAUGCAUUUAGGUGCAGCGUCGGAUCGAUUACAUCCGGGGGGUAGAGCGACUGGAUGCUUGCGGGCCCAUAUCGGGUACCAACAGCAACCAAACUCCGAAUACCCGUGAUGCGUAUCCCGGCAGUGAGUCGGCGGGGGAUAAGCUCCGUCGUCGAAAGGGAAACAGCCCAGAUCGUCGUCUAAGGUCCCCAAGCGUGUGCUAAGUGGGAAAGGAUGUGGAGUCGCAUAGACAGCCAGGAGGUUGGCUCAGAAGCAGCCACCCUUGAAAGAGUGCGUAACAGCUCACUGGUCUAGUGGUUCCGCGCCGACAAUGUAGCGGGGCUCAAGCACACCACCGAAGACGCGGCAGUAGCUUUGCUACUGGGUAGGAGAGCGUCCCAUGCGGGGCGAAGCGGCGGCGCAAGCCCGCCGUGGACCGCAUGGGAGUGAGAAUGCAGACAUGAGUAGCGAAAGACGGGUGAAGAUCCCGUCCGCUGGACGACCAAGGGUUCCAGGGCCACGUUCAUCGUCCCUGGGUGAGUCGGGUCCUAAGGCGAGGCCGACAGGCGUAGUCGAAUGGACGAACGGGUCGAUAUUCCCGUACCGGCAUGCAACCGGCAAAACCGAAUCCGCGAGUACUAACUUCCGGGUCCGGGCUCACGUCUCCUUCGGGAGCCGGAUGCCCUGGCCUGUUGGGACCGUAACGGUAGUAGGUCAGCGCGGGAGUGACGCAGAAGGGUAGCCGGCCGCGGAGGUGGUCUUCCGUGGUCAAGCACGCAGCCCGUCCCACAGGCAAAUCCGUGGGGCGCGUGGGCGAGGUGCGAUGAUGGGCGCCGCAGGGCGCGAUAUCCGGUGAUCCCGGCUGCCGAGAAAAGCUUCGGCGUGAGGCGGCAUGCCGCCCGUACCCCAAACCGACACUGGUGGUCAGGUAGAGAAUACCAAAGCGAUCGAGCGAAUCCUGGUCAAGGAACUCGGCAAAUCACUCCCGUUCCUUCGGUUUAAGGGAGACCCCCGAUGGUGAAGCGGCUUGCCCGCGGAGCUUUUGGGGGUGGCACAGACCAGGGGGUAGCGACUGUUUACCAAAAACACAGGAGCGUGCGAAGGCGCAAGCCGCUGUAUACGCUCUGACGCCUGCCCGGUGCCGGAAGGUUAAGAGGAUCCGUCAGGCCUCGGCCGAAGCGGUGAAUUCAAGCCCCGGUAAACGGCGGUGGUAACUAUAACCAUCCUAAGGUAGCGAAAUUCCUUGUCGGGUAAGUUCCGACCUGCACGAAUGGCGUAACGACUUCCCCACUGUCUCGACCAGGAGCUCGGCGAAAUUGCAGUACGAGUAAAGAUGCUCGUUAAGCGCAGAAGGACGAAAAGACCCCGGGACCUUUACUAUACCUUGGUAUUGGCAUUCGGUGUGGAUUGUGUAGCAUAGGCGGAAGGCUUCGAAGCCACGGCGCCAGCCGCGGUGGAGCCGCAAGGUGAAAUACCGCUCUGUUCGCAUUGGAUGUCUAACCUCGACCAGUCAUCCUGGUCAGGGACAGUGCCUGGCGGGUAGUUUAACUGGGGCGGUUGCCUCCCAAAGAGUAACGGAGGCGCUCAAAGGUUCCCUCAGCCCGGUUGGCAAUCGGGUGGCGAGUGUAAGUGCACAAGGGAGCUUGACUGCGAGACUGACGGGUCGAGCAGGGACGAAAGUCGGAACUAGUGAUCCGGUGCCGGUGUACGGACGCGGCAUCGCUCAACGGAUAAAAGGUACCCCGGGGAUAACAGGCUGAUCAUUCCCAAGAGUCCAUAUCGACGGGAUGGUUUGGCACCUCGAUGUCGGCUCGUCGCAUCCUGGGGCUGGAGCAGGUCCCAAGGGUUCGGCUGUUCGCCGAUUAAAGCGGCACGCGAGCUGGGUUCAGAACGUCGUGAGACAGUUUGGUCUCUAUCCUCUGCGCUCGUCGGAAUGUUGAGGAGGCCUGCCCAUAGUACGAGAGGACCUGGGUGGACGAACCUCUGGUAUGCCGGUUGUCACGCCAGUGGCACGGCCGGUUGGCUACGUUCGGAAGGGAUAACCGCUGAAAGCAUCUAAGCGGGAAGCCUGCUCCAAGAUAAGCAUUCCAUAGGACUACGGGUCCUUGAAGUCCCCAUGCAGAACACGUGGUUGAUAGGCCGGACGUGGAAGCCCCGCGAGGGGUGGAGCCGACCGGUACUAACGGACGAAAGGCAACACAAU